GAGGGAAACAACCCAGACCGCCAGCUAAGGUCCCCAAGACACAGUUAAGUGGGAAACGAGGUGGGAAGGCAUAGACAGCUAGGAGGUUGGCUUAGAAGCAGCCAUCCUUUAAAGAAAGCGUAAUAGCUCACUAGUCGAGUCGUCCUGCGCGGAAGAUGUAACGGGGCUCAAACUGUGCACCGAAGCUGCGGAUAUCGAAAGAUAUGGUAGGGGAGCGUUCUGUAGGUCUGUGAAGGUGACUUGAGAAGGUUGCUGGAGAUAUCAGAAGUGCGAAUGCUGACAUGAGUAGCGAUAAAGGGAGUGAAAAGCUCCCUCGCCGAAAGCCCAAGGUUUCCUACGCAACGUUCAUCGGCGUAGGGUGAGUCGGCCCCUAAGGCGAGGCAGAAAUGCGUAGUCGAUGGGAAACAGGUCAAUAUUCCUGUACCGAUUCUAGAUGCGAUGUGGGGACGGAGAAGGUUAGGUCAGCCAACUGUUGGAAUAGUUGGUUUAAGCGUGUAGGCGUGCCCCUUAGGCAAAUCC
Molecule: ribosomal RNA, 519 nt
Filed under: uncultured bacterium
Lineage: Bacteria
Description: bacterial LSU rRNA
Rfam family: Bacterial large subunit ribosomal RNA
Source: RNAcentral